UACGUAGGGUGCAGGCGUUAAUCGGAAUUACUGGGCGUAAAGCGUGCGCAGGCGGCUCUUUAAGUCAGAUGUGAAAGCCCCGGGCUUAACCUGGGAAUUGCGUUUGAAACUGGAGAGCUGGAGUGUGGAAGAGGGGGGUGGAAUUCCAGGUGUAGCAGUGAAAUGCGUAGAGAUCUGGAGGAACACCGAUGGCGAAGGCAGCCCCCUGGGCUAACACUGACGCUCAUGCACGAAAGCGUGGGGAGCAAACGGG
RNAcentral lists this ribosomal RNA (253 nucleotides) under uncultured bacterium. Its description in RNAcentral is "partial 16S ribosomal RNA". It matches the Rfam family "Bacterial small subunit ribosomal RNA", at positions 524 to 776 of the family's 1533-position model. The record is from RNAcentral.